UAUGGCUCAGUACGAACUCUGGCGGCGUGCCUAAUACAUGCAAGUCGAGCGAACAGAAGGGAGCUUGCUCCCGGAUGUUAGCGGCGGACGGGUGAGUAACACGUGGGUAACCUGCCUGUAAGACUGGGAUAACUCCGGGAAACCGGAGCUAAUACCGGAUAGUUCCUUGAACCGCAUGGUUCAAGGAUGAAAGACGGUUUCGGCUGUCACUUACAGAUGGACCCGCGGCGCAUUAGCUAGUUGGUGGGGUAAUGGCUCACCAAGGCGACGAUGCGUAGCCGACCUGAGAGGGUGAUCGGCCACACUGGGACUGAGACACGGCCCAGACUCCUACGGGAGGCAGCAGUAGGGAAUCUUCCGCAAUGGACGAAAGUCUGACGGAGCAACGCCGCGUGAGUGAUGAAGGUUUUCGGAUCGUAAAGCUCUGUUGUUAGGGAAGAACAAGUGCGAGAGUAACUGCUCGCACCUUGACGGUACCUAACCAGAAAGCCACGGCUAACUACGUGCCAGCAGCCGCGGUAAUACGUAGGUGGCAAGCGUUGUCCGGAAUUAUUGGGCGUAAAGGGCUCGCAGGCGGUUUCUUAAGUCUGAUGUGAAAGCCCCCGGCUCAACCGGGGAGGGUCAUUGGAAACUGGGAAACUUGAGUGCAGAAGAGGAGAGUGGAAUUCCACGUGUAGCGGUGAAAUGCGUAGAGAUGUGGAGGAACACCAGUGGCGAAGGCGACUUUCUGGUCUGUAACUGACGCUGAGGAGCGAAAGCGUGGGGAGCGAACAGGAUUAGAUACCCUGGUAGUCCACGCCGUAAACGAUGAGUGCUAAGUGUUAGGGGGUUUCCGCCCCUUAGUGCUGCAGCUAACGCAU
This 860-nucleotide ribosomal RNA is filed under the name Bacillus sp. (in: firmicutes). Its description in RNAcentral is "bacterial SSU rRNA". It matches the Rfam family "Bacterial small subunit ribosomal RNA", at positions 18 to 860 of the family's 1533-position model. Lineage: Bacteria; Bacillati; Bacillota; Bacilli; Caryophanales; Bacillaceae. The record is from RNAcentral.